RNAcentral lists this ribosomal RNA (497 nucleotides) under uncultured bacterium. RNAcentral describes it as "partial 16S ribosomal RNA". It matches the Rfam family "Bacterial small subunit ribosomal RNA", at positions 28 to 507 of the family's 1533-position model. The record is from RNAcentral.
GAUGAACGCUGGCAGCGUGCCUAAUACAUGCAAGUCGAGCGAACAGACGAGGAGCUUGCUCCUCUGACGUUAGCGGCGGACGGGUGAGUAACACGUGGAUAACCUACCUAUAAGACUGGGAUAACUUCGGGAAACCGGAGCUAAUACCGGAUAACAUGUUGAACCGCAUGGUUCAACAGUGAAAGACGGUUUUGCUGUCACUUAUAGAUGGAUCCGCGUCGCAUUAGCUAGUUGGUAAGGUAACGGCUUACCAAGGCAACGAUGCGUAGCCGACCUGAGAGGGUGAUCGGCCACACUGGAACUGAGACACGGUCCAGACUCCUACGGGAGGCAGCAGUAGGGAAUCUUCCGCAAUGGGCGAAAGCCUGACGGAGCAACGCCGCGUGAGUGAAGAAGGUCUUCGGAUCGUAAAACUCUGUUAUUAGGGAAGAACAAAUGUGUAAGUAACUAUGCACGUCUUGACGGUACCUAAUCAGAAAGCCACGGCUAACUACGUG